Calliphora vicina (urban bluebottle blowfly) is the source of this 376-nucleotide long non-coding RNA. RefSeq lists it as uncharacterized. The transcript has 3 exons. The record is from RefSeq and is a predicted model, not a curated record. Lineage: Eukaryota; Metazoa; Arthropoda; Insecta; Diptera; Calliphoridae.
AAAAGAUUCUGACAUACAAUACAGAAAUGUGGUACAUAUUACAAAUAAUACAUAUAAUUAAAACAAGUCAAAAUUAUGCCAGAAAAACAUAUAUUUGCAGUUAAUAUUAGAAAAAGCUAGAAAAAAUAAAAAAAAUCUCAAAAAAAUAAUAAAAAUUUUAUAAAAAUCUAGUUCAAAAUGGUACGUGAUUGAAAUUGAAUUUUAUUUUUACGGACAGAUCUGUUACACAUUUUGUAUCCACCUAAAAUUUGUUUUAACAAAUGAAGAAAAUUCGUCAUAGCCGAAUUGCCAGCCAUUCCUACUUGAUAAACCUAAAAUUUAUAUUUACCUAAAAUUAAUUGCGGAUGAUCCUUUCUAGCGGAACAAAGCUGAUAGA